CUCGUGGGUACCCAUAGAACCCAUUUAUAUUCACACAUCUGGAGGUCAGAGGUCAAGGGACCCCUUUGAAAAUGGACAUGACAGUUUUUCCUCACCAACAUUUAGUGCAACUUCGGGGCGUAAUUUCGCCUCCUUCCCAACUAGCUAGAGUGACCUGGUUGGUACCGAUAGAUUCUCUAGGUUUUCUACACAGGCACAGUUUGUGUUGGUUCAGGGGGUUCACAUGUGCCAGAGACAGAAACUAUAGAGCUGAUCGUUCUCUGUUAGACAGAGGUGAGGUGUUGUAGUUACAGCUUUAGGCAGCAGGACAGAUUUCCUCUCUCGGUCCUCGUGACAGCGAAGACAUCAUGACAUCUGUCCUGAAAUGUACCCAACAUGCUGCAGCAGUUUGAGAGUGUGAAGCCUGAAAGCCUCCAACAGGAGAAGAAGAAGCAGCGAUGCAGCGCUGAAAGCUGAAAGCUGGAGAGUUUCUCAGAGUUUCUCAGUUUGCUGGUCUGAAAGCAGUUGACCUACUUUUUUUUAUUGGAGUUUAAUGGAGCUUUAAGGAGGCGACAGGCACAGAGAGGAGGGAGCUGAAGGAGGGAUUUAAACUCACACACAUAAUAAAGGCAUGUAUGGAUGGAUGUGGAUGAAGGCGUUUACUGUGUAUACAUGCAGUGAUUUAAGUGUAUUAACAUGCAGACAGAUGUGGACACACACACACACACACACACACACGCAUACACACACUCACACACACACACACACACACACACACACACACCCACACACACACACACACACACACCGAGAGCUGGGCAGUGAUCCAGUCAGGACAAACAUCUGUCUGUCAGAUUGAUGGAGAGGAGAUGUUGUGAGAGAUAUGAACACACAAAGAGCAACAACUGGAGCACAUCUGUGCUGAACACAGCACUAAUACUUGUCAGAGUGUUUUGGUGACGGUAAAACUAAACUGUUGAUCUCUGACUAUGUGGUCACUGACACACUGGUCUGGUCCUGCUGCUGUCAGCAGCUCUUUCUCUGAAGGAGCAUUGAAGCCUUUCACUGUGUUGGCUGUUGGCGUUCACUUCUGAGGAGCUGGUCACCAAACACCAUUCUGUUUUAGUGCUUUAAUAUGUUGUUGUAUUCACCCAUCUGACAGUUCUCAGAUCAAGAUUUUACACAGUAAACAUGCCAUCGGUUUAUAUAAUAUGAUGCUGUUAGGAAUGUAAAGUGGCAGUAGACCAGUUUUGUUUUGCUUUAACUUCAUUAUGAAGUAAAUGUUGUAAAACAACCAAAAACAGACCGAAUACAGCCACAAAGAGACACAAAACAACCACAAAGAGACGUAAAACCUCUACAAAAAAACGCAAAACCUCUACAAAGAGACGUAAAACCUCUACAAGGAGACGUAAAACCUCUACAAGGAGACGUAAAACCUCUACAAAGAGACGUAAAACCUCUACAAGGAGACGUAAAACCUCUACAAGGAGACGUAAAACCUCUACAAGGAGACGUAAAACCUCUACAAGGAGACGUAAAACCUCUACAAAGAGACGUAAAACCUCUAGAAGGAGACGUAAAACCUCUACAAGGAGACGUAAAACCUCUACAAGGAGACGUAAAACCUCUACAAGGAGACGUAAAACCUCUACAAAGAGACGUAAAACCUCUACAAGGAGACGUAAAACCUCUACAAAGAGACGUAAAACCUC
Molecule: long non-coding RNA, 1694 nt
Organism: Sebastes umbrosus (honeycomb rockfish)
Lineage: Eukaryota; Metazoa; Chordata; Actinopteri; Perciformes; Sebastidae
Exons: 2
Source: RefSeq, a predicted model, not a curated record